AUUUCUGUGACUCACCAUUGCAUUGAUUAGGAAGCAUAAUAGAGGGUUCUUGCACUUGAAACGAUUGUCCUAGGUGGAGCAUUAUCCGAGUAUCCCAUCUUUAUCGAUUGCCUUACCUCCUCCUUUACUCGUGCUAUCUUACUUGUUGUUUUUACUUUUGAGAAUUGAAUCAUUUCCACACUUAUCACUACUAAUCUUUCACAUAGCUAAGAAGCAGAUUAAGUGUUUUUAUUCCCUAUUCCCUAUUGAUUCGACAACCGCUCAUCCUGGAUUAUUACUUCAACAAAACCGUCCACUUGAGGGAUAUACGCAAGGGGACCUUGUCAGCUAUGGCGGCCCCCAUUUUGCUUGACCAACCCAAGGAAAACCUUGAAUACAGGCUGUCUUCAUUUGUAUAGACAGACUGAUAGGGUGCUAAGAUCCAAAGUCAAGAGGGAAACAACCCAGAUCGUACGCUAAGGUCCCUAAGCAAGAACUUAGUGGAAAGGGAAGUGAUCAAGCGAUGACAACCAGGAGGUGGGCUUGGAAGCAGCCAUCCUUUGAAGAAAGUGUAAUAGCUCACUGGUCUAGCUCCAUGGCACAGAAAAUAUCUCAGGGCUCAAGUUUUUCACCGAAGCAACGAGACCUUGAAAGCUAUUUUUUCAAGUGUAAGUAGCGAGACGUUCGGUCAAUCGGGGAAGGUUUUUGGUGACAGUACCAGGAGAUAUCGGAAGUGAGAAUGCUGACAUGAGUAACGAGAAAUCUUGUGAAAAACACGAUCGCCUUCAAGUGGAAGGCUUUCUACAUUCAAACAAUCUAUGCAUAGUGAAUCAGUCCCUAAGGAGCCCCCAAAAAGGCUGCCGUCCGAUGGGUACAUGAAAGUCAUGAAGUUUCUUUUACUACUGAACCAUGCUUGUCUGUUGGAGAAAACUAGAUAAGCGGGCUAAGGGCUGCCCUCUCUUCCCCUCGCUCUCCUUUCCCUAAUAUUCACCUUGAGUCAUCAAAGCCUUAACUAGAUAAUUCAGAGGGGCUUCGGCUGGCCCGGUCGCCCUACGCUACUGGCGUUUCCAAAGGCAAAGCUCUCGUCUUUGGGGACCACUAAAUGGAGGGAGUGCUCUCUUACGUUUUGAAGCAGGGGCGGAUACUUUUUCUUCUCUAAAGGCGAAGACUCUGAAGUGGGUGAACACUUGGCCCAACGGGCGAACAUGCCGGGCUCUGGCUCCACGCAUCUCCUGACACCUUUCAAAGCACUCUCACUUGUGAACCGAAGUCGUCUUGCAUCACUCUUUCCUUUCUCAUUUCAGUGCUCGCCUUUAUCAUCUUCAGUAGGGGCCUUUAUUUGAUUAGAGUAGGGGUCGCGAGAAAGCAAAGUAUAUCGCCCUGCCAUAGUCUCGAGGAUCUUGAUAGUAGGUUAUGACUAUCUACUGUCAUAGGCAAUGACGGUUGAAACUUCUAGGAAAAAACUUCGAAUUGGGAGGGCGAUUCCCCUGGUGAACUGACCGUACCCCAAACCGACACAGGUGAAUAAGUAGAGUGUACUAGGGCACGUCGAGAGAACCAUGUCGAAGGAACUCGGCAAAAUGACCCCGUAACUUCGGGAGAAGGGGUGCUCUCCUCUUGAUUAGGAAAGCGACACAAACAAGGGGGUAGUGACUGUUUAUUAAAAACACAGGACUCUGCUAAGUGGUAACACGAUGUAUAGAGUCUGACAUCGGCCCGAUGUUGGAAGGUCAGAAGGAGAAGUGUGAUAAGCUUUGAAUGGAAGUCUUAGUAAACGACGACAGUAACUCUAAUUAUACUAAGGUACCGAAAUUCCUUUUCUCAUAAGUAGCGACUUGAACGAAUGUUGUAAUAACUACCCCGCUGUAUCUGACAUGGACCCGUUAAAAUUAAAUUCUCCUUGAAGAUGCGGAGUACCAGCGGCUAGGCGGAAAGACCCCGUGCACCUUGACUAUAGCUUCGUAGUGACAACCUUGAUCGAAUGUGUAGGAUACGUUAUAGGUGGUACACAUAAGGACCAAUCUUUAAAGACCACUCUUUCGUCAAAGGAUGCCUAACCGCCGCACCGAUCAUUCGGGUAGAGGGGGGAGGGGGAUGGGACACUACGAGGUGGGUAGUUUAUCUGGGGCGAAUGCCUCCAAAAGUGUAACAGAGGUGUGUGAAUAUAAGCUUAAGUGUUGAUUCUGCUCGUGAGCAUAAUGGUAUAAGCCUGCCUGACUGUGAGACCAACUGGUUGAACAGAGAUGAAAGUCGGCUAUAGUGAUCUGGAAGUCCCGUGUGGAGGGGCUCUCGCUCAACGGAUCAAAGGUACACCUGGGAUAACCUGCUGAUGACUCCCAAGGGCUCUUAUCGACAGAGUCAUUUAGCACCUCGAUGUCAACUCAUCACAUCCUGGGGUUGAAGAAGGUCCCAAGGGUUUGGUUGUUCGCCGAUGAAAGUGGUACGUGAGCUGGGUUUAGAACGUCGUGAGACAGUUUGGUUCCUAUAUACCGUUGAUGUUAAAGGGAGAACUGCGAGGAGCCAAUCCAAGUAUGAGAGGACUGGGUUGGGUAAAUCUAUGGUGUACUUGUUGUUAUACCAAUAGUAGCGCCGGGAAACUAAGUUAGUAUGGAAGAAUUGCUGUGCCAUGGGAAAUCCUUCUCUGUACAAGUUCUCAUACGAGGUUUUUCAAUAGAACUUCGAUAAGUGAAAUGUGUAAGCACCGCGAGGUGUGAAGCGAUCUCAUACUAAACGAAUUUCACUUUCCAAC
RNAcentral lists this ribosomal RNA (2728 nucleotides) under Dioscorea cayenensis subsp. rotundata (Guinea yam). RNAcentral describes it as "bacterial LSU rRNA". It matches the Rfam family "Bacterial large subunit ribosomal RNA", at positions 893 to 2925 of the family's 2925-position model. Lineage: Eukaryota; Viridiplantae; Streptophyta; Magnoliopsida; Dioscoreales; Dioscoreaceae. The record is from RNAcentral.